Gallus gallus (chicken) is the source of this 13445-nucleotide long non-coding RNA. RefSeq lists it as uncharacterized. Lineage: Eukaryota; Metazoa; Chordata; Aves; Galliformes; Phasianidae. The transcript has 7 exons. The record is from RefSeq and is a predicted model, not a curated record.
CCCUCUUCUCGUCUCGCUGUGUUCCGUGUCAGAUCGGCUCACUACUGCUGCGCCCGACUGCACGCAAGGCUUCAGUAUUAGUUCUGGGUGAAGUGCUGUUUCUUGGACGCAUUAGCAGCUGCAGUGCAGGAGCUCAGAACAGUGAUACAGCUGGCAUUGGAUUCACUUGGUGCUGGGGGACCACUCAUCACGCUUCCUGUUGCUGUCCAGAGUAUGUGAUCUAAAUAGGAUGUGGGAUUAGAAGAGGCACCUGAAAAUGCACACUAAUACAAAGUUUCAGGAUGCAGAAGAAAACUUACCCUCUACUAGGAGAAAACUCCAUUCAAAAUAAUGAAAUAACGAAGGCAAGAGUAAUGAAAGAAAGAAUACUUACCAUGACUGUCAUAAUGAAGCCAGUGCAGACUAAACAUAUGGCUAAACUAAUGUGCACAGAAGCCUGACGCCUUUGGAAGCAACAGGAUUUUAAUGUGAACAAUGGAACCAAUUUGGGUUUCUACCCUUCCAACAAGGUUAGGGCUAGUCUGCAUCCCUUCAGAUGAAGAACGUCCAGAUCCUCACCACGUCAUGGCUGGAAGAGUAUUUUCAAGGAAGGACUGUGGUCUUUGCUUCCAGAGCAACUUGCAUUCUCCCAACUCUGAUGUGUGCGAUGAGAGAAGUCACACCCACAUGAACCAAAACAACCUGCGAAACAAGUGAGCAAAGCUGCGAGGAUCAAAACUUCACUUGCAUACAAAUCACAGAAUCAUUAAGUUUGGAAAAGACCACAAAGAUCACCAAGUCCAAGCAUCAGCCCAUCCCCACCAGGCCUACAAAGCCACGUUUUUUGAACACCUGCAGGGAUGCUGGGUGACUUCAUCAUCUGCCUGGGCAGCCUAAUCCAGUGCAUCACCACUCCUUCUGAGAAGAAACUUCUCCAAAUAUGGUUGACUCAGGAGAUACAGCCAGAAGUAGUUCUAUGGUUUAGUUUGAAAGUUAUAAAUGAUAGUUCUCUAAAUUGAAAGUAAUGCCAGCUCUCCAGGAAAUAUAUACAUACAGGCUGUUCUGAAAUGCCUCCUAUUUAUUUCCAGAGAAACUACAACAAAUGCAAAGAGCACAAUGACACUAUUUGAUAGAGAAAACUCUCAGCUACAAAAUCUAUUUUUCAACAGAGUCACCAUCAUUAGCUAUGUAUUUUUCUUUUUUGUCGGCAGUGAAUAAAAGCCUGCAUGUCGUGCUUGUAGCAGUCUGCAUCAGUGGAGAUGACCACUGUCACUGUCACCACUGUUGAAAUGCACCACCCACCCACCCCUCACUGUGCUCACAUUCACUGCUCAGUCUCCAUAAAUGUUCAGCAUGUAUCAGUGAAUGUCAAUGAGUACAAUAUUUUUUGCAUAGAGGAUUUCAGUGAAACACUUUUUUCUUCAUCUGUACUUCCAUGUCAGAUGCUGUUUUGUCAGACUGCCCCUCUGCUCCCAUCUCUCACAUGCAACAAAAUGUAAUGGAAUAUAGGUGGUUCAGCCUCUACUGCCAUACGAGCAACAUCUGCCUCUUAUGUGGUGGACCGACAUAAUAAAAAAGGAGGCAUUACUUUCAGAGCAGCAAGAUCAAGCAGCCAGAACCUAGCAGAUUUAAGAAAGAAGAUUGUAUUAUAAGAAAUAAAGGCAAACACGGGGGAUCAGGUUGACAUAGGUCACAUUAAGGACCAGAUUCAGGUAUAGACAUACCCAGUAUCUGAAAUAAGCAAUUCUGUCAAUCCCUAAGACACCUAAAUAAAUAAAAUAUUAAAAUAUUAAAAAUAUAAAGCUCAAGAUGAAAGUUAAAAUUAAAAAAAAAAAAAGGAAAAAAAAACUCCAAACCGUAAGAUAAUUAUUCCUUAAUGCUGUUAGGACUUUAUAAAUGCUUUUUAGAAUUUACCCUCCAUUUGAUACUGCAUUCUGUAGUUCAUCAGCACCUUACUCAAUCCUUCUGAAGCUCAUACAAUGACUUUGCCAUCUGCAGUCAUAUUUGAGUCAGGCAUUUGGAGAGACAACCAGAUAGUUCGUAGUUACUGAGGUACAAGUUUGAUGCCUCUGUAAAACCACAGCACAGAUGCCUCUCUUUUUAAUAUUUACAGCCUGUCUCUUUGUGUAAGAUAUGUGUAAGUACUCAAAAAGCAGAAUUUCUGAACUUCUAACUAAUAUAAGGGAGCAGGUCACAUUGGAAAGACCAGAAAAACAGAUUCAUUCCACAAAGUGAAGAUGAAUGUUUCUUGGUCAAGUUCCUGGAAAUAUCACUAGCCAGAAAUCUCAGAAAAACUGAUGAAAAACUAUUAUACAGAUCAUCAAAAUACCUCAACUAUUUUUUUUUCUUUGACAUUGCAAAUGGAUUAUAAGUAAUCUUUCAAUCUUAAAUAAAAUCACUCUCUACGAAAACUUGUACAGUCUGAACUUUGCAAAGUGAUCACACACACUGACAAAGAAAGUAUGUGAGGUUUUUCCAUAAGCAUCUCUUUUAGUAGUCAAAUAAAGCACAGAGAGUGGGAAAUUAUGGCUGCAGUCUCUGUCACAAACUUUUUUUUAUGUGGUUGGAGUAUGUUGUGUACAGCUCACAAAUGUAAGGUCACAACAUGUUAGCAUUUUAUUGACAUAAAGUUAUACACAUACAAAAGUUGUACCUAACUUACACUGUCUACAGUUUGUGAGGUGACAGACAACACCAUAGAAAUCAAAAUAAGCUCUUCAGUGAGUUCUGGAGAUUCAAUUCCUACGUCAUUUAUGUUGUGCACUUUGAACACUUUUAUUAUUAAAAUUGGUACAGACUACAGUGAGUUUUAGAGUCUCACUAGAAUUUCAGUUGUAAAUUCCUUGUGUAGAGAUCAGAAGUAACGCUCAGAGUUGCACUGAGACCAUAAUACAGAUGCAGGAUGACAAGCAUUGUCGCAGACAUGCAGGUGAAUAUGUCAUGAUGUGAUAGCAAAGCCAUCCCAGAGGGGCUAAUGACAGUGCAAAUGGUGCUAGGAGAGAACUAAAGAGAUGCAAGAAAUUAGUAAGGAGCACAAGAUCACGUGUUCUGACUGUGUUACAAAAAAUGCGUGUACAUACAGAAUCACCAUAUACUCAUGACAAUGAAAACAUGAUAGGAGGUAAUACCUGUGAGAAAGGAUUCCAUUUUGUACGGCGUACUGAUAAAAGCCAUCUGAAGCAAAGACUGCAUAGGUCACAUUGAAGAAUUCUCCACUUACUGCCGUUUCUGGAGGCUUUUGCACCCAUGCCAUCUCCAGACCUAGAAAGAAUAAAAUUUUAAGCCUUUUCUACUUGACAGUUGUGUAAAAAUGUAAAGUUUCUUCUGUAGUAUGGAACACAGUGUAGUGAACAGAAGUGUGAUUUCCAACUAUUUUUCCUGCUGCUUUUUACAAGCCCCAAAUAUUCAUCCAUCUUAGUGGCUGCAUAGGUAAGUGCAAAUGCGCAUUUAUAUAACAAUUCUGACAUUCACAUUCUCCAAGCAAUUGGAGUAACAGGACAGAAAAUCUGAUCAUUUUAUCUCUAGUAAAUUUAAUCCCAGUAUAAUGGAGUGCUACACUUGAUUUCCUCUUACAUUAGGUAAUAAACAUUGUUGGCAAUUCUUGGCUGCUCUCACUGAGGCCUACCUCCUGGAAGAACAGACUACUUUAGCUCCCAUGAAAUACAGUCAGAACUGUUAACCUCACAAGAUAUAAAUUACGUGUGCUAAUUAAACACUUUAAAAAGUAUUAUCUUCUUAUAAAACCAUUUGACACCUAGAGCAGAGGACAGUGGGAGUACUGCUACUCAGACAUUUGUCUUUUUCAAUUUCUAUAUCCUUACAAGGAAAAAUAAUUUAUCCCACUCAUUUCCCUCAUUCUUGGGACACCUUACUACCAACUCUAAACCUAGAAAUGAAGUGAGAUUAUUCUCAAACAGUACUAUCAAAAUCUUUCCAUUCCUUUCACCAAUCUUUUCCCCUGUUGUUAAUUGAAGGUUUUAAAUUCUGACAUGUGAAAUUACUAACAUUAUGCAGACACGCAGACCUCAGUUUGUCAGGAAAUUUAAAAUCCUUUUCCCAGAGGAUGGGUGAACCUGCUGUUCAGUUGUUGUUCAGUUACAGACUCACAUAUUAGUCCGGAGUUGUCUUUACAAGUGUAUUAUACACUUGCACUGUCAGUGAAAUAAACUACUACUUUUCCCCUUAAACACAAAUCCCUUUCAUAUAUGAAGAAACAAACUGUAAACUAACCUAAAGAUAUCACCUCUCCCUCAAAAAGUAAACACUCAUUAUAGGAGCCAGCAUUAUGAGAGAAACUACAAAACAAAUAUUUACAUAAAAUCCUAAUAUUAUUUGCAUUAAAAGGAAUGAGAGCUAAACUUCAGGAAAAGUGAGAGAUCGAAGGUAGAAGGUCAGCAUAAAUUUCAGAAAAAAGUGUAUUUAUACUUCUCUUUAAAGGUCUCACAAAAGCAAAUAAAACUCUUAUUUCAAUGAUAGAUACUUCCACUUCUAAAUGAUUUGAAGAUCUUGCAUUACAAGUUAAAUUCACAGAAAUACAGUAGAUGCCUAUUGCUUUGCAUUUAGCAGUGCACCAAAGAUGAGAAGGAAGAAUCAUAGAAAAAGGCAGGAUAAAGAUUGAAGUCUGUUCUAAAACUCUUUGAGAAGGGUUUAUGUAAAUGAAACUGCCUACUCAUAUUAGUUUCCUCUGUCCUACAUUCACACUGAUUUAUUAGUAAGAAUAUGCUUCAAACUAGUCUUUUUUUUCUGGUAAGUAGUAGUUUCAGUGUUAAAGCAGUAGUAAAUUCUUACAGCUUGUCAACUUACUUGACAAUUACCUAGACAGUCUUUCAGUUUCUUUGUUCAAUCCAAACUCUUCACAAAAUGUUUAACUAAAGCAUGGAGUGGAGAGCAUCGCCCAGCAGUUUAUUUCCUGGACGAUUUUUACCAGUAUUACAGUUUCUCUGGUGUACUUGUUUUUCUCUAAAAACCCUAUCAAGAAAGAAUUGUCUCCAGUUCCAACCUUUUUGAACAUAAACAGAAGUGUUCCACUUUGUUUUUCCAUCUCAAACAAUUCAGGAGAUUAAACAAAAAGAUUAUUAUUUUUUUUAAUGCCAUCAUGUAAAUUCAGUUUUCAAACUGGAGUAAGUGGUUAAAGAUCUCAGAUUUUAAGUACUCAUGGAACACAACUUUGAGCAAGGAGAGAAAAGUAUAAAAUGUAGAAGUGGUGCUUUUACUUACUGGCUAGAGGGUUUAAAUGGUUCACUUUUGAAAUGAUGCCACAGAAUUCCAGGAAUAGAAUUUGCAACAGUACUGAGCUGACUACCUGAUUUUUUUGGAUUAUGCUGCAUUCAGUUUUCAAAUGAGAAAUAAAAUGUUUUCAAUUCUUAUUUUAGGGGGAGAGGCUCAGCUGUUGCAAUUUUUCUUUUGGAAGCAAUGAAUACUGAGCAAAUAAUUGCUCGGAAGUAUCUUUUGACUGUUUUCUUUCACCUUUUUCUCAAGAAAGAAUGUCAUCACCUACUCUGAUGCCUUCCACCAUGUGAAACAUUUGUUAUGAGUUAGGUGUCAGUCUGAGCACUUCAAUUUUAGGUCCUCAACCAUUCUCUGAGCAAGAAAUUAUAUUCCUUGAGCAGCUUUAGAACUCACCUCCACAGUCCAUCAUGUUAUAUUCAUCUGGUUUUUCCAGGGGCCAACAGUCAUAGUCUUUGUUGUCUAAAUCAUGCCAUCCUUCCACUAAUAUCACCUGCCAGAAACAGACCUCAUAAAACACUGUAUAGAAACAGGGGAAGGAUGCUUUCCAUCUGUAGUUUGUCUUUCUAUCUAAAGCAAAGACAGAUACAGUACUUGGCAUAUUUUGUUUUGUCUCUUCAAGUUCUGGAGACAAAAACGAUAGUUUCCUAGGGAUCGGUGUAUUAUUUUUAUCUACCCAGUAAUGAUUCGUAAGACAAUUAGGUGACUUAACUAAAAUGUCUCUCCCAGAAGUUUUCCUCUGCAAAAAAUGGGCAGUUCUAGGACCAUAUGCAGAGAGACAUAUUAUUUAAAGAUUUUUUUCUCUGUGUUUAAAAUGACGUACACCUGCUGCAAACUGUCUUUCUUUUAAUCUUUUACACCUACAUUACUUCGAUGACUAUUUUUCAUUAAAGCUUUAAUAACAAAAUACAAUUAAUUGUACAAAUGUUACAACAGGCAAUUAUAGACAAGAUUAUCUAUGCCUAUUUCUUGCAGAAUACAGCAUUAUAAUAGCAUACAGAGUGAAUUUGAAUGGUUGCAAAAUAUAUAAUAUACCUAUAUAUAUAUGUUAUACACUACAAAUGUUUUUAUACUAAUCAAGUAAUAAAAUAUACCUUGUAGACUGUAGAUGAAAAGAUUAUGAUUAUACAUUUUGUUUUUAAUCCACAAUUAGAAAAGGAUAUUAAGUUCUGUGAUUCUGUGAUCCAUAUAAUCUAUUUUUUCUGUGCAUAUUAUUGGAGAAUAAUCAUCUACUGGUUUAUGCAAUUACUUAUCCCAUUAUUCCAGGAGGAAGAUUUAUAUAAUUGAUUUUUACACCAUAUUCUGCCAUUAUUCUUGUUUUUUACAUUACUAAAAUAGCAUUCAACAAUUAUCUGAAAUUAAUAGCCAUCUCCCUGCAAUAAGCCAUCUACAGUUCCUUCAGUACGCACGGACCACACAAAUAUGUGAUGGUAAAAGGAUCUACAUAGCUUACCUACCAAUAAACUGAGGAGGCUUUGGAGCCUGAAGGCAAGUAUUUUGGUAGCUCGCAUGCUCACUAAUGUGCAUCCAGCUCAUCAAGUGAUGAGGCUGCUUCUAAUACUGCUGUUGCUGCUGAAUUAGAUGCCCCUGUCUAAGAAGCAGGGUUGCUAGGCAAGCUGAUCCUGACAACUCCAGCUGCUGCAGAUGUUCUGCCUCCCCCUUCCCUCUUCUACCCUACCCUACUUCUUCUUGAUGCAAGCUGAAAACACCCCGCCACACCUCUGCCAAACCUCUCUGAAAAAACAGUACUCGUCUUAGGGGCAGCCCUCCUUUCAGACUGGGGCCAUUUGUGCUCCUGUCAGCUCAAAGCUGGAAGAGCAAUGGGAGGAUUUUAUUGCACUGCCCGGUUGAGUUUGGAUAGCAUCCGACCCUUAGAUGGUAUCAGGCAGAUGAUGAAUUAAUAAUGUGAAAAUAAUCACAGAGACAAGUCGGGCCUGGGUGAAGAGAGGUGUACAAACUUCAUGGCAAGACAGGGCCAGCUAGAGGUUGAACUAUGUGAUCUCCCAGGGUUCCUUCCAAUCUGAAUGAUUUUAGAUCCCGUAACUCCAAUUCCUCAACCCUGGAAGUGCAGGACAACUUCUAUCUGUGAUCUGCUACACAGGUUAAAAAAUAAUUCUGCCUAGCCAUACUGAAAAGAUAUUUCUAGGACUCUCUCUGUUUUCUGAAGUCACUGUUAACACUGGAUGCCAGUAGUGAUUUGGCUCUUCUGAGUAACUUGUCUGGAAUUCUGGCUCUCAACCCAAACCCACUUCAAGAAUCUUAGUCACCAUGCUUGGACUUCAAAAUCUAUUGAAUUGAAAGUUACUUUGAUGCAAUAUGUACCCUGUUCAUCUUGAAAGUGGUUGUAGGUCACUUAAAAAAUAUGUAUCUCCUUGUACUUUGGUAUGAGCAUUUCACCCAAAUCAUUGGUUGAAAUAUAUGAAAACAUUUAUAGACUAUUUCAACUUGGCUAAGUGGUAGAAAGAGAGGAGAAAUAAGAAUGCCAUUUUUGGCUAGAAUUAUCUGCUUAGAAGAACUCUACAUAUAUCAACACUGAGCGAGAUUUUCUUAGUGAUUUCUUUCAGGAUAUUUUGUGCUUAAUGAGGAAUUUGCUGGCAGGAAAGCUAAGGAUUACAGCUUGCUAGAUCCUACAGCAACCAACAGAUUAACAGAUUGAUCCUAUUUUAUUUAAUAGGGCUGUCAAAUAUUCACAUGACAUUAGUAUCAUGAUUCAAGGCAUGCAAGAAUAACACCUUACCUUUACAGCUACUCGUCUGUCACAAAGUUUAGAAGUCCUGGAAGGUGGCCAUGUACAAGAAGCUGUUCCAGGAAUCUGAAUUAAAGAUGGAUGAAAUCAGUGGCUGGUAAUAUAUGAUUUAACAACCUAUCUGAGCAAUACAUUAGUUAUGUCUUUAUACAAUAGUGUGUAUACAGAGGAAGUCAGAAAGAGAUUUGAAUAAAGUAAGAUGGUCAUCCGAAUCUUAAUAAUUUUUUGAUUUGCUUCUUUUUCUCUUUGCAAAUUAUCUGCACAUAAUUUGUAUUAAUUUCUCAGUACUGCAUUAUACUAUGAGUUAUAUUUCAGACACAGUCUGACUAAAAUAUAGAUUAUUCCACCUACUGCCACUUGAUUGGCUCACCACACGCAAUAAUAAAGCUCUUUGGAUCCCUCUCUUCUAAGAAUUUCUGCAACUGAAAAAAAAAGUAAUUUCUACUGCUUUAAAUGAAGUGUAUACAAAACCUUAUUUUUACAUAUUUAUUUCUGUUGGUUAUGCUCAGAUGGUCAUUUAAGAAACCUGGUUUCCAUUUCAUUCUUUAACUUGCUUACAAUUUCUAAUACCAAAUAGAGAGGAAAAAAGGAUAGUUCAAAAUUCCAUAAGAAAAAACACCUUUGAUAUUGGUGAAGACAUACAUUUUCAUUAAUGUUUGCAAAAAUGAAGGAAAACGCUUCUUUAACUUAAACUUUUUUUUUUUUUUUUUUUAACAUAUGACAUGCUACUAUGCAGUGUAUAUUAUUACCUAGAUGUUAUCAGAACAUUUAGUUUGUAUACAGGAAAAGACAGAUUUAGAAAAUGGAAAAUAAAAAAGUUUUAUAACCAUUUGGAUAGACUACAAAAGAUACAGUCAAGAAUGAAUCAAGAGGGACAGCUGAAGGGGAAAAUGUGAAAAACUAGGCAUGUAUUACAUAGAAGUGUACUGACAAGGUGCAUGAAAAAGGUUCCAUUAGCAUUUAUGCUUCCUAAAGAGGAGUGGUUUAUAUAAUCUUUUAUAUUAUGUGCAUGCAUUCACAUGCAGGGAUAUUACAACCCUAAAAACCACAAAAGAAUUCCAAGCAGAAACUGCAGGGAUCCUGACCAGAAGACCAUCAUACAUUGAGGAGUGGUGAGCUGUUGUGUGCUGCGUACCCAGAAGGGCCAUCAGGCAAGCAGUUUCUUUUCUGACACUAUAAUUUAUAGGCGGAGUUGUUUCCUUGCAAUAAAAACGUGCAAUAGUGUGAAUGACUGAAAGGGGACAAUCUCUGCAAUGUACAAGCUCUGCAUGACAUACUGUGUGUGGGUUGGACGUCUGCCUGGUGCUUCAGGGAUUGGGGUUCCCAGCAUCUGAAGGGACACAAGAUAAUCUGCAGUAUUCUUUUUAUAAUCUUAGCUCAAAUAUCAAGUAUUCUAAAUCGAGUCCGACUGCUUUUUUUUUUUUUUUUCUUUUUUCUUUUUCUUUUCCUCGCUGGGACAUAACGGACCAGCACCUCCUUGCACGAAAUAGAAGGUUCUACAGUAAUUUUUGCAAAAAGGUAAACAAGCGUGACCAGAGCACUCUGAGAUCUCCCUCUAGUGGCGUAAUGGCAGCACAACGAGAGGACGAUUCCCGCUUGUGCGCAGGUUCACAAGCCUUGACUUAGUGUUGGCUGCAGAACUACAAGCUGAAUUUCUACUCCAUUAGACUGCACUGGGAAUUCAGCACACUAGGAUGUAUUUCAAGCAAUUUUCUUCAAUUGUUUCUCCUCCAUAAGCUACUCAGCUUUGACAAAGCUGUCCCAGAAAGUGUAAUUGUGUUGCGCUGAUUAUACUUGUUUGAAAAUUUUAUACCUUCUUUCAUUUUAUUAGCAGUUGGCUUUUAUUACUCUGACAAAUUAUGGGGAAAAUACAGUGAAUAUUAAUUGCCAGUGUUAACUUAAUUUUCUUCUCAACAAUUUUCACUUAAUUAAACAUUUCAUACAGUAUUGGUAGCAAAAUCUAGGUAUAAUAAAUGAUCAAUUUACCAUUAUUUUUCUAUUUCUUAAGCCUUCUCCUUGAAGGACAGUCAUAUAUUUUUAAGCACCUCACUUUUCAACUGAAGUCUUAUUAAUCACUUAUACAUUGCUUUUUCACUGUUAAGAUUUUUUUUUUUAACAUGCUUAAAAGGUUUUCAGCAGCAUGCAUUCUGAUAGUUAUUUUCUGCAGAAAAGAGGAAAAUGAGUUCCAGAAGAUGAGGACUAGUGAAAGGAAUGUAUUCUGGUAGUACAAAGCAGCACUGAUUUUCUCUUUAGUGGAAACUGAUCUUAGUUAAAAACUCAGUUCAAAAACUGAGUGCACUGUAAGUAGGAGAGGCACACUGACACUGAGUUUAUAGCAUUUGCUUUGAAGUUCCUGUAGCUCUACAGUCAAAAUAAACAAACCAGCAGACAAAACCCUAGGUCCCACAACUAAAAUUAAACAAAUCAUUUAACAAACAAUUAAAAAAACAACCAACAGGCUUACCACUUUUACUUAGUGAAAAACAACUGCACUGCAGUGCUAAGUUAUUGGAGGGGUUGAUGAUUUGGUUGAUGAUGAAACUGUGUUAAGGUCAGUUCAACCUCUCUCUCUGUAACCACAGUUCUAUGAUGGCAGUACAUUUUUACUCAACCUGUCCUGAGAUAAUGCCAAGGAGGCAGCUUACUGCACUCGUGCUGACUUUCAACGUAACCUUACUUAUGUAGUUGCUUAAAUUAGGUCUUCUAGAUGCCUGGUCACAAUCAAUGAGAUCCUGAUUUACCACAAAUGAGAGGCCUACUCAGUGGUUUUACAAAGCAAUCUAUUUUUAACCCACACAUACACUCAGAAGACUAAUUUAAGGCACCUUCAUCUUACAGAUCUUUACUUUUCCUUUCCAACUAAAUGAUCCAGUUAUUUCAGUCCCUAGAGAUGUCAUUUCAAAAGCACAGGUCUAAAAAUUUUAUAGCCAAGAGUAAGCUAAGGAAAGUCAUUAAUGGUAGACAGACCAAACUCCUUGAAAGAAAGAAAGAGAGGUGGGCAGUGACCUGUCAGUAAAUUGGCUGCUAUCACUAACUUGGGUAAUUUAAACUAAAAUCCGAGGAUACCAUUGCCAGCAAAAACCUGAAGGAGAUAUCUAUACUUACGUCAACAGAUUUUGAAUCAUUUGGCAAGUUACUUCUAUUAUUUUAUCUAGCUCAAAAAUGUAAGCAGCAUUGUGCUAACAGGACAGUAUAGCCCAGCAGAGAUGAACAACCAGCUCCAUCUCUGCCAUAUACCUGCUCUGUAUCAGUGUAGUUUAUCAAACUUCACUUAUCUUCAGUUUUCCUAUUUUUAAAACAAGGCUACGAAUAAUUAACUAUAUAAGAACCUAGAGAUUAGAAAAAUGCUUUAUAAAGGUGGAAGUAUGGUUGUUGCUAGGCAACCAAUAAAAAUAAAUAGCACUCCUUACAGCUGUGAGCAUGUUUGUCUAAAGACAGUGGUAGCAAGUUGACAUUAAGUAAAACUCAGCAUCCAGUGUGAUCCUGUAGCCUCUUUCCUAUAAGUAGGCUGAAAUACCAGAGAUUCAGAGCACAAUUUGCAACUUCUAUUACCUCAAUAUUGUUAUUAAUGCAAAUGUUUCUGAUACCAGUUAGGCUGUGAUAAACAUUGAUCCAAGUGUUCAUUUUUAUCUAUUUUCACUCAUUUUUAGAAGCCAGUUUUCAGCGCUUAGUAAGCAUCUUGUCUUUUCCUUACAAGCAGACAAGCAGCAGCCCUAUGUGUUGUCAGAGAGUCUGUGUUCAGAAAAAUAUAGUGCAUUUGCCUGAUUACCUGAAGAUGUCCUAUUAUCUUGGGAGUUUUACGUUGCUCUUUUUCUUUAUUUCUAAAAAGAGAUAGUACAGUGCCCAACUACGAAAAAGCUCUCUUCCCUGCAUUUUGUAGGAGCUUACCAACAACAUCUUUUGGCCUUCUAAUCACCAAUCUGAUGUCACUGUCUUCCCUAAAGAUACAAAAUAGCGAGCCUCAGUUAUCUAUUUUGGAAGAAAAUAAAAGUUCCUUCAAAACAACGGACAGUACCAGUUAAGGGCAGUUUAUCCCAUCUUUAAAACCCUUGGUUGGUGUGAUUACUUAAUAAUCCCUACUACUUUAUAUCACAGAAUGAUAGAAUGGUUUGAAUUAGAAGGGAGUUUUAAAAAGUCGUCAGGUUCCAAACUCCUUUCUGUGGGCCCUGACCUUGCCAUUCCCAGGGGUGCAGCAUCCACAACGCCUCCAGGUAACCUGUUCCAGUACAUAAACACCCUCAUAACAAAGAACUUCUUCCUAUUAUCUAAUUUAAAUCUACUACCUUUUAGUUUAAAACUGUUAUUCCUUGGCCUAUCACUACACAUCUUUGUAAAGAGUCCUUCUCCACCUGUCUUGCAGACUCUUCUUAUGUAUUGGAAGGCCGUGAUGUGGUAUCCUCAGCUCCUUCUAUUCUCCAGUCCAAACAAUCACAGGCCCCUCAGCCUUUAUUCAAAGGAAAGGUCCUCUAGCUUUCUAAUAUCUUCAUGUCCCUUCUCUGCAUCUGCUUCAACAGCUCCAUGUCUUGUGCGGGGGGCCCCAGACCUGGGCACAGUACAACAGGUGGGGCCCCACAGGGGCAGAACAGAGGGGGAGAAUCAUCUCCUUCAUCCUGCUGGCCAUGCUUCUUUUAAUUCACCAGUACCCCCAAGUCUUUCUUUGCUAGGCUGCUCUCAGUACAUUUAUUUCUCAUCCUGUAUGGAUGUCUAGGAUCGACUCCACCCAAGUCAUAACUCUAUAGUCUCAAGUAUUCUGCUGACCAUAUCAAAGAGGAUACAGAAAAGGAAGCACUGUAUGUUUUACACACAACCAGAACGUGCCACUAUUUUCAGUACAAUCUCUGAAAUACAAAAUAUUGAAGAAGCAAGAUUAAGCAUGAGGAGCAUGUUUUAGUGGCUUUAAACAUCACAAGAUUUCACUCAUCCAAUAAAAUAGAAUAAAUAAUAUUGUUCUAUCACAAAUAUGAAUACAGUCCCUUCCAUUAAAUUUAGCACUUCUAAUGGGUAUUCUAAGCAUAAAAAAAAAUCUUUGGAGAAAAAAAUGAAAUAAAUAACGUAUGUUAGCUUUGUGGUGAAUCAAAAAUGGAAACUGUAAAAUGUAUUGUUUGUGUAGUUGCUGCGAUGUCCAUGAGAUUGGAAGAUGGAACACCUUAAAGUAUAAGUGAUUAAAGUGUUGUCCCGUUCAUACAGUGUCCAUAGAUUCUUGAGAACGCAGAACUUAGAGAGUUGUUAGCAUCUUGAAUUAAAAGACUAGAAAGGAAAAACAUGUUACAUUGCCUUUUCAUCUUUCAGUUUCAGUGCUGACUUUAAGGAAAUAUUAAGUGUCUACAAAUACUAGCAGAUGUGUCAGUUAGAUACUAAAUAAUGAGGAAAGCAAAUUACUUGUCUAACUAAGUCAAGUCAAAUAAAUUAAACUGGUUUUCAAAAUACUGCAUAAAUUUCUUUGCAAUAUUGUGCCUUGAAAACUAGUUCAAAGCUUUAUAAAGAAUGAAUGACA